RNAcentral lists this ribosomal RNA (291 nucleotides) under uncultured bacterium. RNAcentral's name for it is "partial 16S ribosomal RNA". It matches the Rfam family "Bacterial small subunit ribosomal RNA", at positions 773 to 1060 of the family's 1533-position model. The record is from RNAcentral.
GUGGAUUAGAUACCCUAGUAGUCCACGCCCUAAACGAUGUCAACUAGGUGUUGGGGAAGGAGACUUCUUUAGUACCGCAGCUAACGCGUGAAGUUGACCGCCUGGGGAGUACGGUCGCAAGAUUAAAACUCAAAGGAAUUGACGGGGACCCGCACAAGCGGUGGAUUAUGUGGAUUAAUUCGAUGCAACGCGAAAAACCUUACCUACCCUUGACAUGCCAGAAAUCCUGAAGAGAUUUGGGAGUGCCCGAAAGGGAAUCUGGACACAGGUGCUGCACGGCCGUCGUCAACU